GGCCGCAGUAUAUUAACUGUGCAAAGGUAGCAUAAUCAUUAGUUUUUUAAUUGAAAGCUUGUAUGAAAGGCUGGACGAGGUAAAUUCUGUCUCUAUUUAAAUUAGGUUAGAAUUUAAUUUUUAAGUUAAAAAGCUUAAAUUUUAUUAAAAGACGAGAAGACCCUAUAGAGCUUUAUAAUUUAUUAAAUAAGAUUAAUUUAGUUUUAUUAGUAUUUUUUUUGAUAAAUUAUUUUAUUGGGGUAAUAGAAAGAUUAAAUUAAUUCUUUUUUUUUUAUAAACAUAGAUUUAUGAAUAUAAUGAUCCAAUUUUAUUGAUUAAAAGAUUAAGUUACCUUAGGGAUAACAGCGUAAUUUUUUUAGAGAGUUCAUAUCGAUAAAAAAGUUUGCGACCUCGAUGUUGGAUUAAAGAUUAUUUUAGGUGUAGAAGCUUAAAAAUUUUGGUCUGUUCGACCAUUAAAUCUUUACAUGAUCUGAGUUCAGACCGGUGUAAGCCAGGUCGGUUUCUAUCUUUAUAUAAUUAAAAUAUUUUAGUACGAAAGGACCAAAUAUUUGAUAUAUUUAUAUUUUAAUAUUUAAGAAUAUUAAUAAUAAUUAUUAUUUUGGCAGAUUAGUGCAAUGAAUUUAGAAUUCAUUUAUGUAAAUUUUUACAAAUAAUAUUGUUUUAUAUAGAUAUUAUAUUUUCUAUUAUUUGUAUAUUAUUAUUAGUUAUUUGUGUUUUAGUGGGAGUUGCUUUUUUAACUUUAUUAGAACGUAAAG
This 755-nucleotide ribosomal RNA is filed under the name Pamborus viridis. Its description in RNAcentral is "partial 16S ribosomal RNA". The stretch from base 1 to 533 matches the Rfam family "Bacterial large subunit ribosomal RNA", at positions 1929 to 2925 of the family's 2925-position model. Lineage: Eukaryota; Metazoa; Arthropoda; Insecta; Coleoptera; Carabidae. The record is from RNAcentral.